UGCCAGCCGCCGCGGUAAUACGGAGGGGGUUAGCGUUGUUCGGAAUUACUGGGCGUAAAGCGCGCGUAGGCGGACUAUUAAGUCAGGGGUGAAAUCCCACGGCUCAACCGUGGAAUUGCGGGAGAUACUACUCGUCUUGAGUUCGGGAGAGGAGUGUGGAAUUCCCAGUGUAGCGGUGAAAUGCGUAGAUAUUGGGAGGAACACCGGUGGCGAAGGCGGCACUCUGGACCGAUACUGACGCUGAGGCGCGAAAGCUAGGGGAGCAAACGGGAUUAGAUA
This 279-nucleotide ribosomal RNA is filed under the name uncultured bacterium. Its description in RNAcentral is "partial 16S ribosomal RNA". It matches the Rfam family "Bacterial small subunit ribosomal RNA", at positions 506 to 784 of the family's 1533-position model. The record is from RNAcentral.